ACUUCAUCACUGACUUUCUAUUGGUUUGACUAGCUGCCAGAUCAAGACUGGAGCUCCUUUCAGGAUUGAGAGGCUGGCCAGAUACAACCAGCUUCUUCGCAUCGAAGAGGAACUCGGAGAUGUCCGCUAUGCUAGUGAAACUUUCAGAUCUCCUUAGAGGAAUUUACCAAAUUAGUGUUGAGAAGUGUUUUUAAAAGCUCUAGUAAAACUGAGGCC
Molecule: long non-coding RNA, 216 nt
Organism: Hibiscus syriacus
Lineage: Eukaryota; Viridiplantae; Streptophyta; Magnoliopsida; Malvales; Malvaceae
Exons: 3
Source: RefSeq, a predicted model, not a curated record